UACGUAGGGUGCAAGCGUUGUCCGGAAUUAUUGGGCGUAAAGCGCACGUAGGCGGCCUUGUAAGUCGGAUGUGAAAUCCCUCGGCUUAACCGAGGACGUGCAUCCGAAACUGUGAGGCUCGAGUAUGGAAGAGGGUCGCAGAAUUCCCGGUGUAGAGGUGAAAUUCGUAGAUAUCGGGAGGAAUACCAGUGGCGAAGGCGGCGACCUGGGCCAAUACUGACGCUGAGGUGCGAAAGCGUGGGGAGCAAACAGG
This 253-nucleotide ribosomal RNA is filed under the name uncultured bacterium. Its description in RNAcentral is "partial 16S ribosomal RNA". It matches the Rfam family "Bacterial small subunit ribosomal RNA", at positions 524 to 776 of the family's 1533-position model. The record is from RNAcentral.